RNAcentral lists this ribosomal RNA (253 nucleotides) under uncultured bacterium. Its description in RNAcentral is "partial 16S ribosomal RNA". It matches the Rfam family "Bacterial small subunit ribosomal RNA", at positions 524 to 776 of the family's 1533-position model. The record is from RNAcentral.
UACGAAGGGGGCUAGCGUUGCUCGGAAUGACUGGGCGUAAAGGGCGCGUAGGCGGUUUGUACAGUCAGAUGUGAAAUUCCUGGGCUCAACCUGGAGGCUGCAUUUGAUACGUGCGGACUAGAGUGGGGAAGAGGGUCGUGGAAUUCCCAGUGUAGAGGUGAAAUUCGUAGAUAUUGGGAAGAACACCGGUGGCGAAGGCGGCGACCUGGUCCUUGACUGACGCUGAGGCGCGAAAGCGUGGGGAGCAAACAGG